GCCAGCAGCCGCGGUAAUACGUAGGGUGCGAGCGUUAAUCGGAAUUACUGGGCGUAAAGCGUGCGCAGGCGGUUUGCUAAGACAGGUGUGAAAUCCCCGGGCUUAACCUGGGAACUGCGCUUGUGACUGGCAGGCUAGAGUACGGCAGAGGGGGGUGGAAUUCCUGGUGUAGCAGUGAAAUGCGUAGAGAUCAGGAGGAACACCGAUGGCGAAGGCAGCCCCCUGGGCCUGUACUGACGCUCAUGCACGAAAGCGUGGGGAGCAAACAGGAUUAGAUACCCUGGUAGUCCACGCCCUAAACGAUGUCGACUAGUCGUUCGGAGCAGCAAUGCACUGAGUGACGCAGCUAACGCGUGAAGUCGACCGCCUGGGGAGUACGGCCGCAAGGUUAAAACUCAAAGGAAUUGACGGGG
Molecule: ribosomal RNA, 413 nt
Filed under: uncultured bacterium
Lineage: Bacteria
Description: bacterial SSU rRNA
Rfam family: Bacterial small subunit ribosomal RNA
Source: RNAcentral